GGGGCUAUAGCUCAGUGGCAGAGCACUUGCCUGGCAUGCGUGAGGCUAUGGGUUCAAUCCUCAGCACCA
Molecule: transfer RNA, 69 nt
Filed under: Ictidomys tridecemlineatus (thirteen-lined ground squirrel)
Lineage: Eukaryota; Metazoa; Chordata; Mammalia; Rodentia; Sciuridae
Description: Spermophilus tridecemlineatus (thirteen-lined ground squirrel) tRNA
Rfam family: tRNA
About the family: Transfer RNA (tRNA) molecules are approximately 80 nucleotides in length. Their secondary structure includes four short double-helical elements and three loops (D, anti-codon, and T loops).
Source: Rfam by way of RNAcentral